RNAcentral lists this ribosomal RNA (253 nucleotides) under uncultured bacterium. Its description in RNAcentral is "partial 16S ribosomal RNA". It matches the Rfam family "Bacterial small subunit ribosomal RNA", at positions 524 to 776 of the family's 1533-position model. The record is from RNAcentral.
UACGUAGGGGGCUAGCGUUGUCCGGAUUUAUUGGGCGUAAAGAGCGUGUAGGCGGCCAGGUAGGUCUGGCGUGAAAACUCGAGGCUUAACCUUGAGAUGUCAUCGGAAACCAUUUGGCUAGAGUCCGGAAGAGGAAAGUGGAACUCCUGGUGUAGCGGUGAAAUGCGCAGAUAUCAGGAAGAACACCAAUGGCGAAAGCAGCUUUCUGGGACGGUACUGACGCUGAGGCGCGAAAGCGUGGGGAGCGAACAGG